RNAcentral lists this ribosomal RNA (369 nucleotides) under Triticum aestivum (bread wheat). Its description in RNAcentral is "partial small subunit ribosomal RNA". The record is from RNAcentral. Lineage: Eukaryota; Viridiplantae; Streptophyta; Magnoliopsida; Poales; Poaceae.
AUGGCCAGUGGUAGGAAUCCCGAGAACAAGAACACGGACGGACGGAGUUGCUCCAUGGCGCCGAGGCAGGGGAGGAAGCGGCCAUCGUCCAUGACGUCCCGGUGCUCGAGCGAGGACGGCAUCCUAGAUCUGGGAGGCAGAGACGACGAACUAAUGAAGUUAGGAAUGGCUGUGAGGAGGAGAUGGAGUAGAUGGACGCACCUGAGUCGUCGGAGCCACGCCGACCGAAACCCUAGCGACGGGAGCCGGUCGCGGUUGGCACUGGAGGACGCGCGUGACGGAUCUCGACGGGGAACGCCAGCCUCCCCAAGUCGUGCCUGCUCGAUCCGGAGGGAGGGAGUGGGGGCGGGGCCGGCGACGCCUGCUUGA